UGGGGAAUAUUGGACAAUGGGCGCAAGCCUGAUCCAGCCAUGCCGCGUGAGUGACGAAGGUCUUCGGAUUGUAAAGCUCUUUUGCCAGGGACGAUAAUGACGGUACCUGGAGAAUAAGCCCCGGCUAACUUCGUGCCAGCAGCCGCGGUAAUACGAAGGGGGCUAGCGUUGUUCGGAAUUACUGGGCGUAAAGCGCACGUAGGCGGAUUUGUUAGUCAGGGGUGAAAUCCCGGGGCUCAACCUCGGAACUGCCUUUGAUACUGCAAGUCUCGAGUCCGGAAGAGGUGAGUGGAAUUCCUAGUGUAGAGGUGAAAUGCGUAGAUAUCAAGAGGAACACCUGAGGCGAAGGCGGGUUGCUGGGCUGAUACUGACGCUGAGGCGCGAAAGCUAGGGUAGCAAACGGGAUUAGAUACCCUAGUAGUCCCUGAGCGGGCUGGCAAGGCGCAU
This 447-nucleotide ribosomal RNA is filed under the name uncultured bacterium. RNAcentral describes it as "bacterial SSU rRNA". It matches the Rfam family "Bacterial small subunit ribosomal RNA", at positions 355 to 825 of the family's 1533-position model. The record is from RNAcentral.